This 200-nucleotide ribosomal RNA is filed under the name uncultured bacterium. RNAcentral describes it as "partial 16S ribosomal RNA". It matches the Rfam family "Bacterial small subunit ribosomal RNA", at positions 28 to 257 of the family's 1533-position model. The record is from RNAcentral.
GAUGAACGCUGGCGGCGUGCCUAACACAUGCAAGUCGAACGGUCUCUUCGGAGGCAGUGGCAGACGGGUGAGUAACGCGUGGGAAUCUACCUGAUACUACGGAACAACAGAGGGAAACUUCUGCUAAUACCGUAUACGCCCUACGGGGAAAGAUUUAUCGGAAUUAGAUGAGCCCGCGUAAGAUUAGCUAGUUGGUGAGG